RNAcentral lists this unclassified non-coding RNA (414 nucleotides) under fungal sp. RNAcentral describes it as "partial internal transcribed spacer region". The stretch from base 1 to 46 matches the Rfam family "Eukaryotic small subunit ribosomal RNA", at positions 1786 to 1831 of the family's 1831-position model. The record is from RNAcentral. Lineage: Eukaryota; Fungi.
AAGUCGUAACAAGGUUUCCGUAGGUGAACCUGCGGAAGGAUCAUUAACACGUAUCCAACGUUAAACCCCCGUGAACAUUGAAGACCAUACCAGGGAAGCCUGGUUUUGACGAGGUUGAUCCUCAGUCGGUAGAUAAAUGCCAGCAAUCCCCGCACUCGGUCGUAGAAAAAAUGAUGGGGGACUUUUGGCAGACCGCUGGGUCUGGAAUCGCUGCAAGCGUAGCUUGUUGUCCCCGCGCCGUCGCACGCAGGGGUUCGUCUCUAACAACCACUGUCAACACUGUACAGUGGCAACAGCUACAAGCCGAUGCAAUGGCUCCAAAGCACCACUUACCUUAUUUCGAACCCUCCGCGCUUAACCACGCAGGAGAAAAAAAACUAACAACAACUGUUAACAAUGGAUAUCUUGGUUCUC